Molecule: long non-coding RNA, 2375 nt
Organism: Ooceraea biroi (clonal raider ant)
Lineage: Eukaryota; Metazoa; Arthropoda; Insecta; Hymenoptera; Formicidae
Source: RefSeq, a predicted model, not a curated record
CGCGUUACGUUUUGUUUACUCUUGGCCGCGCGAUCGAUAUCUGCGCUUCCCGUAUCCGCUCUCGACGCUCUCGGGCGAGGAACACUCCCUUUUUCUCCCUCGCACGUACAACGCAGAACGCGGACCCGAGGGAGAUGCCUCCGGGUCCGAGAAUACGUCGUUACUUCCGAAAAUAACGCGACUCUCGACGAGGGAUCGCUCGUAAUCGUUUGCACGAAUUGCGCGAAGUUCGACGACACCUCUGAGCUGGAGGCGACGCCGAGCGAUGUUGUAAGCGAGCGAAGCGAGAGCAGAUUUAGCGGCGCGUCUCCGGGUUAGAAGGCAAAGAGCGUAAACGUGGUAGGCAAGAAGCGCGCGCGCACACUCACGCGUGCUUACGCUGCAGAAAUACUUUCGAUUCGCGGAGAUAACGAAUGCGACGCGAUGAGUGAGAAACAAGCUCUCCUUUGUGUUACUGUAUUUCCAUAAAAGGACCGUGAUUUUCACCGAUUAUCGAGCGUAGUUUCUUUGGAAACUUAUUUUUAGAACUCGAUCUGAUGCAAUUUCUUUGUAAGGUUUACAGCGAUGAACUUCCAAUACGGAGUCUGUAGAAAACUGAGAAAUAUAUACGCCAAGGUCUUUUUCCUUCUGCUAAACACGAGUCAAGGACAAUCUAGAGUAAAAGUGAACCACCCUGUCGAAACACCGUUAAGCCGAUCCGACGAAAUCCAACGCGAUCGCGGCGAUGCUUGCGCGACGCACUUGACGGCGCGAACGACUCACGCAUAAUUACAAUACAAUGACAAGCUUAGCUAGACAUAGUGAAUUUUAAUUCGACCGUGUAAGCGCGGCUUACUGCGCCGCGAGUAAUUCCGACGCAGUAACGGCCGAUCUUCGCUUCGUAAUUGCACGUGCACGUGGCAGCUGAUAAGGAUGUCGAGCUCAUGCUAAAUGAGAGAUACGGGGAGACCCGUGCACGUAAUAAUGUGCAAUCAUAUACUUCACAGACGUCGAAAGUGGGCUCUCGGCGGAUGAAAUAAUUUUCUUCUCGAUAGUAGCAAAGUGCAUGCCGAAAGCACGAUGAGCGAUUCGUCGAUUCACACGUGGAACGCUAUCAUAAAUCAUACGCGUCAAAUAUCGUGGCAAACAAGUGCGACGCGUAUCGUAGAAAUUUACACGCAAAAGACGCAGAAAUUCAGUGUGCAAUGAUGCGCAAUGUUGAUGACGUAAUUUAUAUUUCUCCAGCAGGCAGCAGACUCGCCGCGAUAUUUUCGCGUCGCGAUGUCUCGAUAAACUCGUUCACCAGAGAUGGUGCGUUGACCGAUACGCAAAACAGGAUCCAUUUCUGCGAACGCAACGUGCCCGCGUGUUUCAUCAUGCCUGACAAAUUUCUGCGAUCGUACGAUGAUAACCUUGGAUGAAGCAUUCUCUCCGGGACUCGCGAAUAAUAAAUAUUAACACUUGAGACGAGAUAACACUGUGAGAGCGAGCGUGUAACGUAAAAGGAAACGGGUAAGUGGGUAAUGUUUACUCGCUCCAGUCAGCAGAACUAACAAUAAAUUGGACAGAGGGAUUCUCCAGCCGGGGGGACGAGGCGCGAAAGCUAGGCAAAUCCGGAUGGUGCUUUGUUCUGUUUGGCGAUCGCGAUUGCGGCGCGCCAAACAGAAGGAAAUCCGAGCGUGCGAACCGCGCCGCGGAGGAGCGUCGUGCGAUUAAUUCGCUCUUUAGGAGAAAGGAUGAUCGAGAGUAACGGCGCGCGCGGAGGGACGAGGAGAAGGCACGAGCAAUUUCUGCGUCUCUGCUCGUGGAAAUGAAAGCUGCUCUCAGGAACAGCACGCGGCGCCGGUGAUGCGAUCACAUACAGAGCACGCAUGAGGUUUACUCACGUCUCUAACUCCAUCGUCACCCCUCCAUCUCCCGGAUGAAGGUUUCAGCUCAGCUGUGCUGUAGCACGCGAUUCGCCGGAGAGCCAUGCGAGAGGUGCGUGGACAGAGCGAGGUCAGCUCACGCACGUGCACGUCGUGCGUGGCGCUCAUAUUAUACAUGUACGCUCUUGAUCCGUUUGAUCAUUGGCGUACGCGUCAUUGUGCCGUAAUUGCGAGCUUGCCUAAUCUCGCCAGUUGCUAUAUUUGAACCUUGUGCACGCACUGUUACUAAACGAAAUCUUGAACUUAAAAGAAUUUAGUCGUUUUUAGAUAGCCUAAAAAAAUGUUAAAAUUGGAAUUUCAGCUGCUCUUGUUGCUAUGCUAGAAGUAAGGUAGUCGCAUUUUCACGAUUGAUUUUGUUGCGCGUAAAAGACCGUGCAUAUUUGUUCAGCAAUAUUUUACUUUAUUUCUGCGGAACUUGUACUUUAUAAUUGGAUGUAAUAUAGUGAAUUUACGCAUUUAUUAAUUAAA